AUUGAACGCUGGCGGCAGGCUUAACACAUGCAAGUCGAGCGGGGUGAUGGUGCUUGCACUAUCACUUAGCGGCGGACGGGUGAGUAAUGCUUAGGAAUCUGCCUAUUAGUGGGGGACAACAUCUCGAAAGAGAUGCUAAUACCGCAUACGUCCUACGGGAGAAAGCAGGGGAUCACUUGUGACCUUGCGCUAAUAGAUGAGCCUAAGUCGGAUUAGCUAGUUGGUGGGGUAAAGGCCUACCAAGGCGACGAUCUGUAGCGGGUCUGAGAGGAUGAUCCGCCACACUGGGACUGAGACACGGCCCGGACUCCUACGGGAGGCAGCAGUGGGGAAUAUUGGACAAUGGGGGGAACCCUGAUCCGGCCAUGCCGCGUGUGUGAAGAAGGCCUUAUGGUUGUAAAGCACUUUAAGCGAGGAGGAGGCUCUUUUGGUUAAUACCCAAGAUGAGUGGACGUUACUCGCAGAAUAAGCACCGGCUAACUCUGUGCCAGCCGCCGCGGUAA
RNAcentral lists this ribosomal RNA (503 nucleotides) under uncultured bacterium. RNAcentral describes it as "partial 16S ribosomal RNA". It matches the Rfam family "Bacterial small subunit ribosomal RNA", at positions 30 to 523 of the family's 1533-position model. The record is from RNAcentral.